Molecule: long non-coding RNA, 4642 nt
Organism: Culex pipiens pallens (northern house mosquito)
Lineage: Eukaryota; Metazoa; Arthropoda; Insecta; Diptera; Culicidae
Exons: 3
Source: RefSeq, a predicted model, not a curated record
UAGAAAUUUGAUUUGGCCACUAAUUUUGAUACAUCCAAUGUAAAAGUCACAUUAUUUGAUAUAUGUUCGAUAAUAAGCUAUCCCUUAAAACUUACAUACUCAAAAUUCUCAAAAAUGUUUAGAUAUUAAUUUGACGGGUAUUUGAAAAACCUAUCAAAGUCACCCGAGCUAUCAAAGUCACCCCAGUUUACAGUAAUCAAAAUCUGCAAAGUCAAAUGACUUAAGGAGACCUUUUGUGUGACUUUUUUUUUUAAAUAUUGAGGAUAGGUAUCGUCUGGUCAACUGCUGCCACCCUCGGCAAGGGAUAAUGAUCGAACGUUGCAAAGAUCACCGCACCUGGACUGCAGCUCAUGCUCCCCUGCUGUUCUGUGCGAUGUUCUUUUGAUGAAACACCUCGGACACCUCAGAAGCGAUAAAACGAAUGUGUCCGCAUCCAGUCGAGACUCAGAAAACUGUGCAGCGUUACCGUUGUGCUAUUUUGUGCCACGUGCUACGUGAGAAAACAAACCGUGGCAUAACUGGGAACAACGGCGAUGACUUGGGUACCGUGAAAUGUGCAUGUGCACGACCAUCGAAUAUCGGCCGUGGGCUCAACUCUAUGGUACUUGUAUAGACUAGUCAGUCAACGGGCUGCAGCUGGGAUGCUUGAAGAGAUGUGAAUGCGAUAUCGAAGGGAACCGCUGCCGGCCACACUCCAUACUGGCUGUUUGUUAUGCAAGAGCCAAUUCAGUACAACCGUAUACACAAGGUACCAUUCUUCGCCCAAGUGAUUGGACACAGACCAUUAAAGAAUGAUAAGCAAUAAUUUGAGCAUAACGUUGCAUUUUCACUGUUUAAUAACUGUGUUGAACCAACAAGCUGAACAGCAGAAUUGGAGCUUUUUAUUUUGCUGUACCUAAAAUUGCAUUUCCCCAUUGUAACACCAAAGAAGGAAUUACAUAUUCCAGAGAAACAUAGGAAUUUUUAUAUUAAAACUUAUUUUAAGUGAUUUUCUAAGCAAACCUAGGUGAAUAAUCACACCACGAAUGACAAGAACCACCAUCAUCGUCUAAUUAGACUGUGAACUAGUGUCGAUCUGAUGCAGUGCAUUGCAGCAUUAUAGCUAUAUAGCAUGUCUAAUUAUUUCGCGAGCAAGAUUGAUGUUUGCCCCAGCCAUUCAAGUUGUAUAGCGCAGGAGCGAAGAUAAAUUGUUCUCCAUUAUUUGCGGGGAGUUUUAGAUCGUUUCAGUCUUCCUGAUGGAAACCGGGAACAUUCGGUUCGUGGCGGCAUUCGUGGGACUUGAAAGAAAGCAUCAUCCAGCUGUUUGUAUGCGCUUCGGUACACAUAAAAGCCUUAAAUAGGCGGUAAGUGUAUGAUGCUCAGAUGAUCAACUAACUGUGGGUGCAAUUGCACUGUUGAGCUAUUUAAAAAAUGCAACCGUCACUGCUGAAACAAGGUUAACUUGCAAGUUUAACUGUUCAACUACUUAUAGUCAGUAACACGGAGAAUGCAUAAAUUCUUUCCGAGUUGAUCACGCUUGUUACUGAGUGGAGCGCAACAGGAAGUGCAUCAGAGUGAAUGACGAAGAUGUUUUCGUUGUUUGCUUAAACAAAUCUCUGUUUUUUCUGUUAGUUAUUCACUCAUCUUGAGCUCAUUAACCAAAAAUGUGUGUAAAAUUCAAAUUUUGAAACUACUACAGCAGAAGUCGAGAACGCGAAUGCCAGAGCCUAAAAUUUCACUCUCUGGCCCACAUCGUGUGAACUUUUCAUUUCUCUUAAAUCUAGCUUAAUGCACCGGGUUUGUUUGCCGCUUGAUGCUUGAAAAAAAAAACAUCACCACCACCAGUCAAACGUAGAACAAAAGAGAGAAAACUGGUGGAAAACUGUGAUUGUCAUUGUUGGCUUUAUUGGAAUUAAUUAGCCGUGCUCUCGUAUCUGCCACAAUAGCAGAGCAUGGCUGUAGCGUGCGCAGCUUAUUUUCCUUUUGCGUAGUAAAUUUUUGCUCAUUAGUGUACUCGUGGCGAGCGUUGGCGAGAAAUCAUCGAAAAACUUCCGUUUAUCUCGCAAGUCGCUACCCUCCAUUGUGAAUCGAAGUCAAAAUUUUUUGGGAGGACUCAAAAUGUAGAAAGACGAAGGUAAAAAACAGAAAAAAAAUGUAUAUCAAAAUAUUAUUAUUUUGCAAUAUUUUAGGUUUCAAAUACUCUAUGAUUUUUGAGUAAAAAACACGUUUUAGGCCAGUUUUGAGGAUGCUUUAUCUUUUUUUAGGAGCAAGUAGCAUACGCUCUUUGGGAAAGUUUCAAAUCACCUUUGAAGGUUAAAGGUUUUAAUAUAGCAUGAAACGUGGAUUUUUUAAAAUCUUUAAAAUCAGUUUUCCCCACACAAAUUCCCAUACAAAAUUUAAUCGUUUUGCGCAAGGUGAAGACUUAAGCAAUCGUUCCCAACUUUUACGGAUUUGUUUAGGAUCCUGAAAGAAACUGAUAAAUUGUUGUGCUGGAAAAUCGAUUUUUCACCGUAAUGAACCACUCUAGUGGACAAUGUUUCCUAUAAUCUCAAAUUGCCAGUAUGUUUGAAACUACACUCCAAACCAUGUGGUUUCAACUUUUUAACGCCGAACAAAUUCGCAGCAUUUCUCAAAAGACGAUCUGAUCACAGCCCUCAUGCCUGCACCGAAGGCAAGUCAAGUCAAGCCAGGGUCGAUUCUUUUCUGAAAUCAUACCUUAUGCAGAUAUGUACACACAGCAGUUGAAUCCCACGUUGCUGGAAUGCUGUCCGGAGAGCUCGCCGUCGUCGUCCAACGCAUGAUUCGAUCGCUGCUAUUUGCUCUCUGCUAGCAAACCCGUCUGUAUAGAAGACGACGAUCACAUUACGUCAUCGCUCAAGGUGAGUUGAGGCCGUCGCCAUUUUUUCAGCAUCAGAGAGUGUUUUGCGGGUACGAUAACUACAACUUGUGUUGAAUAAAUAUUUCUUUCGAAGAACGAAUAGUCAGUCAUUCACACUUCAUUGACUGUGAGUCAUUUUUGGAGGGCUAAAUCGAGAAGUAAGCACAACUUCUUUUGUCAUUGCUUUAUAAUGGCAUCGCAUGUGCUCAUUUGAUGAAAAGCAAACUUUUGCUGUGAUCACGCAGCAUCACAUCUUCAAGAGGCUCAAGUUAACUGUUACUCCGAGGAAGCAGACAACGAAGUGCCCCCUUCGGACCAUGGAGGGCUGUAUUUUGAUCGCCUGCGGGCUUUUUGGUUACGAAUCAAUAGCCCCGGGGAGUGCGAGAAGUGCCAAUUUUGACCGCAUGUCCGUCCUUAUGUAACUUGACCGGGUUACGAUUUCGGGUCGGCAACAUUAAUGAAGUUUUAUGAGGCUGGGAAAAGAUCAAAUUUAGAAUGGAUUGUAAUCUUUGCCAAAUUAGCAGAUUUGUCUCUAUGUCUGAAUAGACAAACAAAACCUGUUCUAUCAAACAGAUUUGUUUGUACUACCGUGAACAGAUUACCCAACUGAUCUAGCUGAUCAGCUGAACGUUUCUCUGUUGAUGGUUUGCAAUGAACGUGUAGGUAUGCCUCUUUCAUUGGCCAGCUCCUAUACACCGGUACAGGUGAUGCACAUUAGUUUUCCAAGUGGGUAGUAACAAGCGUAGAUAUGGAUGGGUGUCUAUUUGGAGAACAACGAGAUCUCCGCGCCGGCCGCCGACUCAAAAGAGCUUCUGGCAUAUCCGCCCGCCAUCGACUGAGUGAGUGAGUGGUAAAAAAGUCACGUUGUGAUUUUAUUACUGCGACGCCCAAACAGGAAAGCAUUUUCACGGCCACAAUGUCAAUGGCAAGAUGUGCGUGUAUUGUUUAUGUAUAGCAAAAAAGGGAAAUCUAGGCAUCAGGUUGAGCUUUGAAAUUUGUCUCAACUUGUUAUAGUUAAAGGCCUAAGGGGCCAGCCCAAAUUUUUUGGUUUAAUUUUCACAAUUUUGACCGUAAAAAAACGAUUGCCCAUUUUUUCACGGUUUAUUUUUGGCGGAAUCGAUUCUCAAAUGUCCAGAGAACAUAACUUUGACAAAAGUUUUUGUAUGUAGAUUUUAUGUAAUUUUUGAGUAAAAACUGGCCCAGCUUGCAGGCCGGAUUGAAUUUUGACGUAAAAUGUAGAUAAAAACGGAAUGUAAAAAUAGUUUUUCAAACUUUUAACAAAUAUUUUGUUUACUGGUCCGAUUCCAUCAAUGAAAUCAUAAAAAAUGGAAAAUUGUUGUUUUAAGUGUAAAUAAAGUGAAAAUUGUGCCAAAAAGGUUGGAUAGGCUUGACGUACAGUGCUAAAACAAUAAAUUUCAAAUAUGUUAUAACAAUUAAUAUUAAAUUUCUGCCCAAAACUGAAGAUUUAUUUCAGUAGAAUAUUUUUAUUUAUUAUCUUUCGAUCCAUUUCCAAGUCACCAAAGAAUAAUUUAGUACAUAAAAUUGGAUUUGAUUGAUGGCAUUCGUGUCUUGCGCUGUUUAUUAUUUUCAUCUCAACAGAUUACUGUUGCCUUUCUGUAGAAAAAAAUGUCGAAGUGGUUUGCAAAUAGGGAGCCUAAAAAUCAGUGUUUUUCAAUAAGUACAUCAAUAGAAAGAUACUUCCAGAUUAAUUGAGUUAUUUUCUAUAGAAAUAAAGCGGACUUCAUUGUGAAGUAGAAGAUAUUUUCAUCGUGAAACUUGAUGAUG